AAAUUUUUAUGUUUUAAGAAAUUUAUUAUGAAUUUAUUUUACAUAUAAAUUUUAGUAUGAAAUUUUAAUUAUUUAAAUAAUAUUAAUGAAAAUUAUAGUAAUUGGAAUUAAAAAUUUAAGAAAUUAAGAUUUAGUAAUAUGAAAAUUAAUAACUAAUUUUGUGCCAGCAGUUGCGGUUAUACAAAAAUUAAAUUAAAUUAUUUCAGUAUUUAAUAAAUAAAAUAAAAUUAAAAUAAAUAUUAAAUUAUUAGGUAAAAUUUUAAUUUAAUUAAAUUUUAGGUUAAUUUUAUGAUUUAAUAAAUUUAAUAAUAAACUAGGAUUAGAUACCCUAUUAUUAAAAAUUUAAUUUAAAAUACUAAAAUAGUAGAUAAUAAAUAUUGAAACUUAAAUAAUAUGGCGGUAUUUUAGUUCAUUUAGAGGAAUCUGUUUAAUAAUUGAUAAUCCACGAAUAAAUUUACUUAAUUUAAUAUUUUAUAUAUCGUUGUUAAAAAAAUAUUUUAUAAUAAAAAUAAUAUUUAAAAAUUUUUAAAAUAAAUUAAUUCAGAUCAAGAUGUAGAUUAUAGUUAAGAAUAUGAUGGAUUACAAUAAAAUAAUUUAUAGCGGAUAAUUUAAUUUUAAUAUUAAUUUAAAGAUGGAUUUAAAUGUAAUUUUAAUUAAUUUAUUAAAGUGAUUAAAAAUUGAAAUAUGUACAUAUUGCCCGUCACUUUCAUUUAAAAAUUGAAAUAAGUCGUAACAAAGUAGAAGUACUGGAAAGUGUUUCUAGAAUGAA
RNAcentral lists this non-coding RNA (769 nucleotides) under Lethe baileyi. Lineage: Eukaryota; Metazoa; Arthropoda; Insecta; Lepidoptera; Nymphalidae. The record is from RNAcentral.